CCAUAGCAAAUAAGUGGGUUAGGGAUUGCAGCGGCAUCCUUUUAGUGUUGGUGGCUGAGGUGGUUACUUAGUUUAUCGAAGUGUUCUCGAAGCCACCAAUACUAAAAGAUAUAGCGUAAAGCCCGACCCGAA
This 132-nucleotide small RNA is filed under the name Hyunsoonleella jejuensis. RNAcentral's name for it is "Flavo-1 RNA". It matches the Rfam family "Flavo-1 RNA". Lineage: Bacteria; Pseudomonadati; Bacteroidota; Flavobacteriia; Flavobacteriales; Flavobacteriaceae. The record is from Rfam by way of RNAcentral.